GCCCGGAUAGCUCAGUCGGUAGAGCAGGGGAUUGAAAAUCCCCGUGUCCUUGGUUUCGAUUCCGAGUCCGGGCACCA
This 77-nucleotide transfer RNA is filed under the name Klebsiella pneumoniae. Its description in RNAcentral is "tRNA-Phe". It matches the Rfam family "tRNA". From Rfam's summary of the family: Transfer RNA (tRNA) molecules are approximately 80 nucleotides in length. Their secondary structure includes four short double-helical elements and three loops (D, anti-codon, and T loops). Further hydrogen bonds mediate the characteristic L-shaped molecular structure. tRNAs have two regions of fundamental functional importance: the anti-codon, which is responsible for specific mRNA codon recognition, and the 3' end, to which the tRNAs corresponding amino acid is attached (by aminoacyl-tRNA synthetases). tRNAs cope with the degeneracy of the genetic code in two manners: having more than one tRNA (with a specific anti-codon) for a particular amino acid; and 'wobble' base-pairing, i.e. permitting non-standard base-pairing at the 3rd anti-codon position. RNAcentral also lists the same sequence under 2 other names. The record is from RNAcentral. Lineage: Bacteria; Pseudomonadati; Pseudomonadota; Gammaproteobacteria; Enterobacterales; Enterobacteriaceae.